Molecule: long non-coding RNA, 666 nt
Organism: Gorilla gorilla gorilla (western lowland gorilla)
Lineage: Eukaryota; Metazoa; Chordata; Mammalia; Primates; Hominidae
Exons: 3
Source: RefSeq, a predicted model, not a curated record
CUAGACUGAGGUGUCUUGCUAAAAUCUGACAAUGGCAGUCUUUUUUCAACCAUGGAGAAAAAUACAGCCAUGGGACGAAUUUCUGCCACGGGGACAUGAACAGAAGUGACAUGUGUCAUCAUCCAGGCCUGGAUCCCUGAGUCACUGUAUGGAGGAAAACUACCCAUUGACCAAUAACAACUUCAUUGGACUAAAUGUGCUUCUAAACACUAAGAGAACGGGUCAAGGGCAGAGGAUUUCUGUGGGAUCUGUGCUCACUCAUAGUCAUGGUAGAGGAAGCUGAAUCCCAGAGCAAAGGACACCAGGAAGAGGAGAGGGUUUCUCUGGAAACAGCAGGGUAGGUGCAGGCUGACGUGCUUAUUGACAUGGCAACCUGAACACACCUGGAGACACCUGCUCCACCACCCAGAUGGCCAUGAAUGGAGCAAGUUCUUCCCACUGUUGCUCUCUUCUCUUUUCUGCAAAGUUACACAAGGGUCAAGUCCCAUCAAGGGUCCCAUCUCCAUCUUUUCUCAAGAUGAAGCUGGAAGUCAUCUUGCCACUGGGACCCACCCUUUGGAAAGACCUCUGCCCAGACAAGGGAAGUGCUGCCUCAAUUGCAUGAUUUGAGUGACUUUGGGAGGGUAUUCCUGUCCCCAAAUAGACCUCCUCUCCUGACAUGUCACA